AUUGCCACCCCCAGGCCUGAGGGGCCAGGGGAAGAAGGGGGCGCCAGAACCAGCCUCCGGAGCUUCAGGUCCCGGCAUACAUACCUCUUUCUCCCUGUCCCCACAUCCUCUGGCCAGUUGCUGGUUUCUCCUGUUAGUCCAAACCAAGAGGAAGCUGAGGGUCCUGAGAAGUGUGUGGGCGCAGUCCCCAGAGGUCAGCAGCCUGGGGUACAAGACAGGCUGGAAAGGCUCAGCGCGUGGAUGUGGAAGGACAAAUGGAGGAAGGGGAAGUUGCAGAACAUCAAAUAUAUGCAAAACUUCUUCAAAGCUGGAUGUGCCAUCAACAUAUAAGGAAUUAAGAUGAAACUAAGGAAAACUUAAGAGGUACACUCCAGUUGACCCUUGAACAACACGGGAGUUGGUGUCAUCAACCAAUGUGAACACAACUUAAGAGCUGAUCCUCCCAUCACACAGCUCCUUCAUCCAGUGUUUCCCCACCAGGGAUUCAACCAACCCCAGAUCGGGAACUCACUACUAUGUACAGCAAACAAGACCCCUUUGCUGUAAGAGGUGGCCAUUCUUUCUGGCUUUCUCUCACCAGCACUCAG
This is a long non-coding RNA of Dama dama (fallow deer), 587 nucleotides long. RefSeq lists it as uncharacterized. NCBI's taxonomy places the organism in Eukaryota, Metazoa, Chordata, Mammalia, Artiodactyla, Cervidae. The record is from RefSeq and is a predicted model, not a curated record. The transcript has 4 exons.